This 74-nucleotide transfer RNA is filed under the name Salmonella enterica subsp. enterica serovar Schwarzengrund. RNAcentral's name for it is "tRNA-Arg". It matches the Rfam family "tRNA". Rfam says of the family: Transfer RNA (tRNA) molecules are approximately 80 nucleotides in length. Their secondary structure includes four short double-helical elements and three loops (D, anti-codon, and T loops). Lineage: Bacteria; Pseudomonadati; Pseudomonadota; Gammaproteobacteria; Enterobacterales; Enterobacteriaceae. The record is from RNAcentral.
GCGCCCUUAGCUCAGUUGGAUAGAGCAACGGCCUUCUAAGCCGUGGGUCGCAGNNAAUCCUGCAGGGCGCGCCA